Dermochelys coriacea (leatherback sea turtle) is the source of this 1222-nucleotide long non-coding RNA. RefSeq lists it as uncharacterized. The record is from RefSeq and is a predicted model, not a curated record. NCBI's taxonomy places the organism in Eukaryota, Metazoa, Chordata, Testudines, Dermochelyidae. The transcript has 3 exons.
UAUAAUCAGCUGCAAGAGACACAUUCCAAGGGCUGCUGGACACAGACAGGUCAUGUACUACAGCUCCAGAACCUUUUCUAAUACACUGCAGAUAUUGCUAAGUCUAUCCCAAGGGAAUACAACUUGAACCAUGGAGGCUGUGGCAAAAAGAAGGGAGAACAUAGGGCUGACCAGACUCUCCGGCCAGAAACCUUCACAGAUCUCAAAGUGCUCAAUUCCUUUCUCUCUUCAUGUAUAGAAUAACGUGGAGGUUCACUCCCCCAUCUCUUCAUAGGACAGUAAACCUUUUGUAUUCUCAGUCAGGAUUCCUUUUCUCCUGCUGGGAAGAGAUGCAAUGUGGUAUGGUGAAGACUUCAUGCUGGUUCCUCCCCUGCUGGUGAUAGUUGGUAGUUCUUCCCCUUGUUAGCUCAAUGGCUUUAUUUAGUUUUUAUGUAAAUGCAUUUCCAAUAUCUCUCGAUUUACCUUGGAGACACACUCAAGCAGAACCACAUUUCUUUGUCUAGGGUGGCACACAUUUUAAGAACAGAAUUUCAGCACAUUUGCAAUUCUGCAUGUUACCCAUACUUACACCACACAAUAAUAUUAAUGCUCAGUGAGUUAUGAGUUUUCCGGUAAUACAUUACAUGCCACCCUUUGGGUAAAUAUCAUGACAACAGUGUGCCAGAUGGCACCGGCGUCUUCUUAGGGUCACAGUAUCCUUAAUAAAAUCCUCAGUAUUUUGAGGCAUCUAAGGAAAUUACACUUAGGCUAUAUACCAGAGAUGGCAGUGUCAGGAAAUCCAUCACGCUGAAGCUAAGAGUUAGAGAGAAGAAUAUUUACACCAAGAACUACUGACAGCUGUUAAAAUAUCUUAAAGUCCCUUCCCCCUCGCCACACAAUCGCAGGGCUUUUGAGGGGGCUCAUAGCAGCAGCAAAUGUUCCCAGGAGUUCUCACAUCACGCUGGCAAAUAUGUCAAAGCCCUUUUCAUGUGCUGCAUAUGUUACAAAGAACCCUUUUUCAUUGCUGGACCAGGUCCAUAGAACACCACUUGGAGGAGUGAAAGGUUGAGACAGAGUGAGGGAACUAAAGUCAAACUGAGCAACUUUGUGGGAUGAGUCCAUGCCUGCUCAUAUAAAUACCCUGAACUCAAAGGAGAAUCUGCAAGUGUGAAUUUAAUUUUAAUUUAACCCCAUGGAUUUUGCAUUGUGAAAAUCUUGUGUAAAAGUAAAAACUUUUUGUUUC